Long non-coding RNA from Uloborus diversus, 1591 nucleotides. RefSeq lists it as uncharacterized. Lineage: Eukaryota; Metazoa; Arthropoda; Arachnida; Araneae; Uloboridae. The transcript is spliced from 3 exons. The record is from RefSeq and is a predicted model, not a curated record.
ACCUAUAUUUCUUAAUGCGCCAUGUGUUUUGCAUCAAUAAUAGCGAUCGAUUUUUUUUCUGUUGUAAGUAGCUAUUUUUAUGUAUUUAUAUAAAAUCAAUGAAUAAGAUAUUUUCGUUUUUUUAUAGAAAAGUUUCAAGGAUUUUCUAUUAUGCAAUUUUUUAAAUUUCAGAAAAUUGUUAAAUUAAAACAUUUAAUUUGAACUUGUUUGAAAAGCUUCAUAAAAGAUUAAAUAAUCAAAUUGUUCAAUAUUACGUGUGCAAACAUCAGACCAAGUAGUUAUUAACUUGGUGUAAAUAUUGAGUUUGUUUAUUGUAGCGGCGUUUAAAGAACCUCGCUCUUUUCAUGUCUAUUUCUUUUUUCAGCAAAAUUUAUGCCACAGUUAUAGCUUUCAUGAAAAAUGCAAACUUUUCUAUUCAUAAAUUUUAAAUAAGUAUAAAAAUAUUCCUAUUUUGAUUUAAUAUUGUAAUUUAUCUGUAACAUUUUUUUUUUGUUUAAUUUGAUGACUAAAAAAUGUCUAUGUGCAAUUUUCCCACUUUAAUUGCGUAAUUUGUUGACGGUUUCAAAGUUUUAUUUUUUUUUUAAUGAUUAAACAACAUAAUUUAACGUUUUUUAACUAUGUUUAAUGUACCUAAAUCCAUACAUUAUUACAAUAUUACUGAAAUCGUAGUUGAAUGUUCAAUUAAAAAAAAAAACAAAUCAAUUGGUUAUUAAACAGUCUCUUUGCUUUUCAUCCUUUUUUUUUCUUUCUUUUUUUGGCUGUUGUUCCUUCUCUUUCAUCAUACACCAGUCAAAAAAAAGGAGAAGCAUAAUUACACUCUAUACAGAUUGUACGUAGUACGAUCCGAAAGUUCGGGGACAAGCUGUAUAAAACCUUACCCAGAAUUGUUUACAUUACCGAUGCACAUCCACCUUCAAAAGGUCACCUUGAAAGACUAUGUACUUCCGCCAGUGUUUAUAUAACUUUUGGGAACACGCCUGGAAGCCAUUUUUUCCUACCUUCUAUGAUGCAGCUUUAUCUUCUCCUGGCGGAAGAAAGCGGCGUCCAUGCAAAUGUUUUUUUGCUGGUAAAAGUCACAUGGAGCUAACUCCGACGAAACGUUAUUUUAUUUGUUUGUCAUAUCAGAGUAUUAACCAAUCAAACCGUGCAUUCUCACCAUGAAAAUUGCCUUCUUUCCCACGAUGAAGUUAAAGCAGCGGCGCAAGAGGCCUUACAGGAGGUUGCGAAAAAUGUCUUCCAGGAGUGGUUAAAAAAGCUACAUGAACGUUGGCAGAAGUGCAUAGUCGUUCAAGCUGACUAUUUUGUAGAUAGAUGUGCUUCGGUAAUGUGAACUAUUCAGGAAUUUGAUCAUUCUUUGUCUAUCUCAAAGCGGUUUGGAACGAAUUUUUCUCAACCAGGUCGAAAAUCGCUGCCAAGCCCCAUUUUACUUCAAAUCAGCUCAAUCCUUGCUUUUACCGUAUCAUCACUGUAAAGACCUACGGGAUUCUUUAAGACCAAUGAAUCUACUUCUAAGUACAUGAAUAUUAUGCACUAAUAUACUUUGAAUGUGGACUGAAUACAUCUUUAACGUUUCAAGCCAUUUAAAUACUAA